UGGUUAAUUGGAAGAAGAAGUAUUCUGGUUCCACUUCUAAUAUCAUAUAACAUAAAUUAGAGCAAGUAGAUAACAUGGUAUUUAAUGGCUGUACCUUGGUCAAGGAUCAUUGAAAUGACUGGCUUAGUAUUCUAAAAUAUUUGCAGUGAGUGUUUAUAUCUACUUUUAUGCAUUCUUUUUUUCUUUUCAGUUAAUACUCUUGGAUAAUGUAUUUAAGGAUGCUUAAGGAAGAAGUUCACAGACAGGAUGGCUUCAUGAUAAGUAAACUCCAGUGGUGUGUUAAAGAUGGCUUGUACGGGCUUGUGAGAAUUAACAGCUAAUCUUCUGGAGUUUUGUAAGCUGGCUAUUAAACACAGCCAUUGCCCAAAAUCAAAUUAUAUAAAAUCAUGUUAAAAUUAAAGGUAAUAAAUAUAGCUCAUUAUUUCCUAAUUAUUAUACUAUUGUUUAUAUUCUUGAAGUUAUUUACAUCUAAAUUCUAUGGUGAAAAUACCAUAUAAUGUACUACUCCACAUCUUUGCCCAACUCUGCUU
This is a long non-coding RNA of Pan paniscus (pygmy chimpanzee), 530 nucleotides long. Lineage: Eukaryota; Metazoa; Chordata; Mammalia; Primates; Hominidae. The record is from Ensembl.